UUCCGGUUGAUCCCGCCGGACCUGACUGCUAUCGGAUUGAUACUAAGCCAUGCGAGUCUUUGUAGUAAUACAAGGCAUACGGCUCAGUAACGCGUAGUCAACCUACCCUAUGGACAAGAAUAAUCUCGGGAAACUGAGCAUAAUUCUUGAUAGAUCAUAAUGCCUGGAAUGGUUUAUGGUUAAAAUGAUUCGUCGCCAUAGGAUGGGACUGCGGCCUAUCAGCUUGUUGGUGAGGUAAUGGCCCACCAAGGCGAUUACAGGUACGGGCUCUGAGAGGAGAAGCCCGGAGAUGGGUACUGAGACAAGGACCCAGGCCCUAUGGGGCGCAGCAGGCGAGAAAACUUUGCAAUGUGCGAAAGCACGACAAGGUUAAUCCGAGUGAUUUCUGCUAAAGAAAUCUUUUGCCAGUCAUAAAACCACUGGUGAAUAAGGGGUGGGCAAGUUCUGGUGUCAGCCGCCGCGGUAAAACCAGCACCUCAAGUGGUCAGGAUGAUUAUUGGGCCUAAAGCAUCCGUAGCCGGCUUUGUUAGUUUUCGGUUAAAUCCAUGUGCUCAACGCAUGGGCUGCCGAAAAUACUGCAUAGCUAGGGAGUGGGAGAGGUAGACGGUACUCAGUAGGAAGGGGUAAAAUCCUUUGAUCUAUUGAUGACCACCUGUGGCGAAGGCGGUCUACCAGAACACGUUCGACGGUGAGGGAUGAAAGCUGGGGGAGCAAACCGGAUUAGAUACCCGGGUAGUCCCAGCUGUAAACGAUGCAGACUCGAUGAUGCAUUGGCAUAAUAGCCAAUGCAGUGUCGCAGGGAAGCCGUUAAGUCUGCCGCCUGGGAAGUACGUACGCAAGUAUGAAACUUAAAGGAAUUGGCGGGGGAGCACCACAAGGGGUGAAGCCUGCGGUUCAAUUGGAUUCAACGCCGG
This 914-nucleotide ribosomal RNA is filed under the name uncultured marine archaeon. RNAcentral describes it as "bacterial SSU rRNA". It matches the Rfam family "Archaeal small subunit ribosomal RNA", at positions 1 to 921 of the family's 1478-position model. The record is from RNAcentral.